UUGAACGCUGGCGGCAUGCCUUACACAUGCAAGUCGCACGGCAGCACGGGUGCUUGCACCUGGUGGCGCGUGGCGAACGGGUGAGUAAUACAUCGGAACAUGUCCUGUAGUGGGGGAUAGCCCGGCGAAAGCCGGAUUAAUACCGCAUACGAUCUACGGAUGAAAGCGGGGGACCUUCGGGCCUCGCGCUAUAGGGUUGGCCGAUAGCUGAUUAGCUAGUUGGUGGGGUAAAGGCCUACCAAGGCGACGAUCAGUAGCUGGUCUGAGAGGACGACAGCCACACUGGGACUGAGACACGGCCCAGACUCCUACGGGAGGCAGCAGUGGGGAAUUUUGGACAAUGGGCGAAAGCCUGAUCCAGCAAUGCCGCGUGUGUGAAGAAGGCCUUCGGGUUGUAAAGCACUUUUGUCCGGAAAGAAAUCCUUGGCUCUAAUACAGUCGGGGGAUGACGGUACCGGAAGAAUAAGCACCGGCUAACUACGUG
Molecule: ribosomal RNA, 484 nt
Filed under: uncultured bacterium
Lineage: Bacteria
Description: partial 16S ribosomal RNA
Rfam family: Bacterial small subunit ribosomal RNA
Source: RNAcentral